AGGUGGCUUCGAGUUCGAGAGUUGAGCAAGUUCAAGGCUCGGAAGAAAAGGGCACGGACCAGAGAGUCGCAGAAGAAGACGAACAGAGUCGAGAAGAGACCGUUGGAGUUACCAGCGGGUUUUAGGUUUCACCCGACGGACGACGAGUUGGUGAACCAUUACCUGAUUCGCAAGUGCGCUUCGCAAUCCAUCUCCGUCCCCAUCAUUGCCGAGAUCGAUCUCUACAAGUUCGACCCUUGGGACCUUCCUGUAAUUGCAGGACAUGCUUGGGAAUUAGAGUAUAAAAGCAAAUGCUCCCGGGGACAAUCUAUUUGUGGCUAUUUCAGUUCAGCAUCCCAAGCUUGAUGCCCCAUAAGGUGGCAUUAUGGAUAUACUAGCAUGAGGGGCAUAUCGAAGUUCUAUGAUGGCAAGUCGAAAUCUUUCACAAGCUUAGCAGAUGCUUCUGCUUCUUCAUCUGUUAAAGAGAUCGUGAAACCGGAAAAUGCUUACAGCAGAAGGCGCAGAAAUAUCUUCGCAUCCAGUCACGUGUCGGACAGAAGCCGCAAUUUUUCCCUGAGAAGCAACAUGGUGGGGAUAUCUAAGAGAAGACCGCUCACCUCGAGCAACAGCGCAUUGGUCUUGAAGGUUGCUGCUAUGUGCAACUCAGAGAGUUUUAGUUCCGCGAGUGAAGACUAGUACGAGCUCAGCAUCACGAUCUCCUCCUCAGCUUCCGCCUCUUCAUCCACGUAGAAAGGGUUCUCAUAACCAGAUAGCUUCUCCUCAAUGGAAUUUUUCGCCUUAGCGGUCAUACUCCUUGGCUGAUCCGCAGCAGUGUUCGAGCCCAUCGAGCCCGGUCCUUUCUGACUCAAUGUCUGAAAAUGGGAGGGGAAGGGACGCACGCUUGCGUGCAAAUGGGAGAAUGGUGCAGAGUUGCGGGCCCCGGCUCCACGUGUCGACACGUGUCGAAUCCUGAUUGGGCGGGCACACAGUGACUUGGAGGCCCACCU
Molecule: long non-coding RNA, 986 nt
Organism: Eucalyptus grandis
Lineage: Eukaryota; Viridiplantae; Streptophyta; Magnoliopsida; Myrtales; Myrtaceae
Exons: 3
Source: RefSeq, a predicted model, not a curated record